GCGAUUCGCCCUUCGGGGUGCCCAGGCGCGAAAACUUUACAAUGCGGGAAACCGUGAUAAGGGAACUCCGAGUGCCCGUAAAAUCGGGCUGUCCAUCUGUUUAAAUAACAGGUGAAGAAAGGGCCGGGCAAGACCGGUGCCAGCCGCCGCGGUAAUACCGGCGGCUCGAGUGGUGGCCACUAUUACUGGGCUUAAAGCGUUCGUAGCUGGUCUGUUAAGUCUCUGGGGAAAUCUACUGGCUUAACCAAUAGGCUUUUCAGGGAUACUGGCAGACUAGGGACCGGGAGAGGUGAGGGGUACUCCAGGGGUAGGAGUGAAAUCCUGUAAUCCUUGGGGGACCACCUGUGGCGAAGGCGCCUCACCAGAACGGCUCCGACAGUGAGGGACGAAAGCUGGGGGAGCAAACCGGAUUAGAUACCCGGGUAGUCCCAGCCGUAAACGAUGCGCGUUAGGUGUAUCGGUGACCACGAGUCACCGAGGUGCCGAAGAGAAAUCGUGAAACGUGCCGCCUGGGAAGUACGGUCGCAAGGCUGAAACUUAAAGGAAUUGGCGGGGGAGCAC
RNAcentral lists this ribosomal RNA (561 nucleotides) under uncultured archaeon. RNAcentral describes it as "bacterial SSU rRNA". It matches the Rfam family "Archaeal small subunit ribosomal RNA", at positions 313 to 879 of the family's 1478-position model. The record is from RNAcentral.